RNAcentral lists this ribosomal RNA (253 nucleotides) under uncultured bacterium. RNAcentral describes it as "partial 16S ribosomal RNA". It matches the Rfam family "Bacterial small subunit ribosomal RNA", at positions 524 to 775 of the family's 1533-position model. The record is from RNAcentral.
UACGUAGGGUGCAAGCGUUAAUCGGAAUUACUGGGCGUAAAGCGUGCGCAGGCGGUUUUGUAAGUUUGUCGUGAAAUCCCCGGGCUCAACCUGGGAAUGGCGAUGAAGACUGCAAGGCUAGAAUCUGGCAGAGGGGGGUAGAAUUCCACGUGUAGCAGUGAAAUGCGUAGAGAUGUGGAGGAACACCGAUGGCGAAGGCAGCCCCCUGGGUCAAGAUUGACGCUCAUGCACGAAAGGCGUGGGGAGCAAACAG